GACGAACGCUGGCGGCGUGCUUAACACAUGCAAGUCGAACGGAAAGGCCCUGCUUUUGUGGGGUGCUCGAGUGGCGAACGGGUGAGUAACACGUGAGUAACCUGCCCUUGACUUUGGGAUAACUUCAGGAAACUGGGGCUAAUACCGGUUAGGAGCUCCUGCUGCAUGGUGGGGGUUGGAAAGUUUCGGCGGUUGGGGAUGGACUCGCGGCUUAUCAGCUUGUUGGUGGGGUAGUGGCUUACCAAGGCUUUGACGGGUAGCCGGCCUGAGAGGGUGACCGGCCACAUUGGGACUGAGAUACGGCCCAGACUCCUACGGGAGGCAGCAGUGGGGAAUAUUGCACAAUGGGCGGAAGCCUGAUGCAGCAACGCCGCGUGCGGGAUGACGGCCUUCGGGUUGUAAACCGCUUCCGCCUGUGACGAAGCGUGAGUGACGGUAAUGGGUAAAGAAGCACCGGCUAACUACGUG
Molecule: ribosomal RNA, 468 nt
Filed under: uncultured bacterium
Lineage: Bacteria
Description: partial 16S ribosomal RNA
Rfam family: Bacterial small subunit ribosomal RNA
Source: RNAcentral